This 1262-nucleotide long non-coding RNA is filed under the name Equus caballus (horse). RNAcentral describes it as "lncRNA (ENSECAG00000053000.1)". Lineage: Eukaryota; Metazoa; Chordata; Mammalia; Perissodactyla; Equidae. The record is from RNAcentral.
CUGUGCACUCAUACUUCCACAAAGUGGAAAGAUAAGAGGCUCAGGGUUAGAACAUAUAUAAACUCAUGCCAGUGGUGAAUGGCUUGGGCAGCUGGACAGUGGCUGGAAAGAAGAAAUAUUAGAAAAUUAGAGUCAAGUGGAUCUGGGCUAGAGCAUGUAAAUAAACAUGAGAGUGGACACAAAGUAUGAAGCUGUUUGUGUCACAUGUUAAUGAUCACCAGAGCAUCCACCAUGGAAGAGACACUAAACAACCAAGGAAACAAAAUGACUUGGCUACUUGAUGUUAGCCAGCCUUUGUCAUCAGCCACCUCAGUGUUUGCACAAUGGGUGCAUGAACAGAAUACCCACGGCGACAGGGAAUGGAGGUUGUGAGUGGACCCAAAAAGAUGAACUUCUCUUACCAAAGCUGAUCCAGCUACUGCCACUGGCAAACUCCACCUUAGUAGACAAGAAGAGGAGUCAUCAACCUGUCGGAAGUAACUGACCUUUGAUGAUGAGGAAGAAGUGGGAGUGCUGUUAAGCGGGAGGACAGGGAGGAUAUGCUUGGUGCCCGGGAGAUCCACUUGGAUGCCUCUUGGUACUUCCUUGCCAAAUUGUGAUGGCAAAUGGACAAGUACAGAGAUUCUGGCUAGAGAAGGGCAUGGUACCCUGGGAAUGAGACUCAAGGUUUUAUGAGUUAUCCCUUAUCCCUUUAUCCCUUUAUGGGAUAAGGAUCUGGGGCAAACCAUGGGCAAACUACCAAGACCCGCAGAGGUGCUCUCUGAAGGGGAGGGGAGUUUUGAGUGGAUAGUGCAGGAGGGAGAUGAUGAGGCUCAGCCGCAGCCCUGACAUCAGCGCCUGUGCUGACGGCUGAAAUUCGUCCUGCUCGUCUUAUGCUUCUAAAUUUCCUGGAGUAAACAGGUCUGCUGGCAUCCAGGGUGAGGUGUUCCAGAAUGUACGUGAAGAAGUGGAUCUGAGCCGCACAAGACAAAACUGCUGUGAAAACCCUGGUCUCUUCGUUCUCUCUCACUGCAAGCUUCACUUUGGCUUUCUCCAAAUUGAAGGAAACGUGGCUGCCAAAAACGCUAAAGCUCACUGACAUCCUACAGACUUUGCCACCACAACGAUUUGACAUGAAGAGACAAUAGCUAUUCUACUCUCUGGGAGAAGAGUAUCUGCAAGAGAAAUAACAUCCAAGCUGAUGAAAUUGGCAAGGUACUGCUCUGAGGUCACACAGUACAUUGGAAUCUAGAUAGAUAAGAAUGAAAAGUAAGUGAUUAGAG